UGAACUGAAAGAACAAAUCGCCUACUUCAGGCGGUGGGAAGCGUAUGGAAAUUAUAUUAGAACUUCAGCAAAGUGCACAGCUGCAUAAUAGAGAAGCCGGCACUCAGAUUGACAGGCAAAUAAGCCAGCUUGUGGAAGGGGCCUCUGGGUGGCAGCUCUGGGCUUUUGGGUGUUGGACAACCAUAGGCAAAACUGAAAUGGAACAGGGGCAGAAAAUAGCACACUUUUACUCUACGCAACUGUUGCUUUUUCAUGAUCUUCAGGAAUUUUACUGGGAUAAUUAUCCAAAUAAAUUGCAAGCAUUCUAUCCAAAUGGAGCUCUUUCUGAGAUGAAGAGAAUUCUCAAUGUCAAGAUUUGAACAAGAAGAGAAUGGAAUACACAAUAUGGACAUCCAUAAAAAUUCAUCAGAGAGCAUUUUACUACUGAGCUGCAAAGGCUGGAGUGCAGUGGCACCGUCUCAGGUCACUUCAACCUCCGCCUCCUGGGCUCAAGCGAUUCUCCCGCCUCAGCCUCCUGAGUAC
This 522-nucleotide long non-coding RNA is filed under the name Pan troglodytes (chimpanzee). Its description in RNAcentral is "lincRNA". The record is from RNAcentral. Lineage: Eukaryota; Metazoa; Chordata; Mammalia; Primates; Hominidae.